UGGGGGGAUUUGGGGAGAAAAAGGAAAAAAAUAAAAAUAAAAAAUCUUAAAAAUAAAUAAAUAAAUAAAACACACUGGACUGAGGAAGAUUAGGUUCUCCAAAAGACUGAAUCAAGAGCUGAGGAAAAUAAUUUUUAGAAUCUAACUCACCAAUUGUUAAGUCAGGUGGUUUCUAUAGUCAAAUUAAAGCCCCUUCCUGCCCCUCUCUAACGCCCUGGUCAAAAACAACAGAAACAAAAACCCAGUCUGUCCCAUGGUGGCUACCUUUGGAAACUGAGAAUGCUUUUAACUCUCCCUUGGAAUUCUUUUGCUUCCUGUAGAAUCUUGCAUAUAAUCUGAGUUCCAUUUGUUACGGUUUAAAGGAGCUAGAAGAAACUGUGGGAACCAGGGUCAACUAUAUGGAUUGUACCUGUAAAAGCACCAGGACCACAAAAAUACUGCCCGGGGACUAGCUGAUGAACAAAACCAUUUGUCUACUUGUAGACAAAUGGCAGCUGCCCAUUACUCCAACUUUCACCUCGAGCAGUCCCCGGCUUGCAUGCAAGUAUCCUGGAACGAAACCGCAGCUGACCAUGGGGCUGGGGAAAGAGGCUACUGCCACAUAAAAGCAGAGAGAGCAAAAGCUAUCAUCAAAAGUAUGCCUUCUCUCAGAAGCAGUGGGUCCCAGCCAAGAUGGCUACCACGUGAAAAUGAGACAAGCAGGCAUAUCAUCAAUCCCAAAACAACUCACAGGAACCGUUCGAAAACAAACCACCUCAGGGGGCACGUUCCACCCUACUUUUGACUGUCAGCAUGUCUGUCACCUGCACACCCACUAAUAAACAAAUAAAAAAGUGGUUCCAUGUUACUCUCCAUCCCAGUUCUCUCCUGCGGGGGUUAGAAUAUUCACAAAGCAAGGCAGAGGAGGUAACCAAAGCCUCUGAAGGGCACAAUCAGGCAUUAUGAAGUUUGGAAAAAGUCAGGGUAAUAACCAUUGCCCUCUUCCCUUUUCAAAAAGGGCCACCAUUUCUUUCCUCAGCUGCACACAGGUUGGAUUGAAACGUGGCAGCAGCCUCACAAAAGCAGUCCUUUGAAAAGAAAAUAAUUACUAUCCAUUGCCUUUCCUGUGUGCCUAGCUUUGU
Equus caballus (horse) is the source of this 1121-nucleotide long non-coding RNA. RefSeq lists it as uncharacterized. NCBI's taxonomy places the organism in Eukaryota, Metazoa, Chordata, Mammalia, Perissodactyla, Equidae. The record is from RefSeq and is a predicted model, not a curated record.